GACGAACGCUGGCGGCGUGCUUAACACAUGCAAGUCGAGCGGUAAGGCCCUUUCGGGGGUACACGAGCGGCGAACGGGUGAGUAACACGUGGGUGACCUGCCUUUAGCUCUGGGAUAAGCCUGGGAAACCGGGUCUAAUACCGGAUAUGACUCCGCGGCGCAUGUUGUGGGGUGGAAAGCCUUGUGCGGCUGGAGAUGGGCCCGCGGCCUAUCAGCUUGUUGGUGGGGUGAUGGCCUACCAAGGCGACGACGGGUAGCCGGCCUGAGAGGGCGACCGGCCACACUGGGACUGAGACACGGCCCAGACUCCUACGGGAGGCAGCAGUGGGGAAUCUUGCGCAAUGGGCGAAAGCCUG
This 356-nucleotide ribosomal RNA is filed under the name uncultured bacterium. RNAcentral describes it as "bacterial SSU rRNA". It matches the Rfam family "Bacterial small subunit ribosomal RNA", at positions 28 to 385 of the family's 1533-position model. The record is from RNAcentral.